Molecule: ribosomal RNA, 253 nt
Filed under: uncultured bacterium
Lineage: Bacteria
Description: partial 16S ribosomal RNA
Rfam family: Bacterial small subunit ribosomal RNA
Source: RNAcentral
UACGAAGGGGGCUAGCGUUGUUCGGAAUUACUGGGCGUAAAGCGCACGUAGGCGGACUACUAAGUCAGGGGUGAAAUCCCGGGGCUCAACCCCGGAACUGCCUUUGAUACUGGUAGUCUCGAGUCCGGAAGAGGUGAGUGGAAUUCCGAGUGUAGAGGUGAAAUUCGUAGAUAUUCGCAAGAACACCAGUGGCGAAGGCGGCUCACUGGCCCGGUACUGACGCUGAGGCACGAAAGCGUGGGGAGCAAACAGG